RNAcentral lists this long non-coding RNA (1297 nucleotides) under Cricetulus griseus (Chinese hamster). Its description in RNAcentral is "lncRNA (ENSCGRG00015011791.2)". Lineage: Eukaryota; Metazoa; Chordata; Mammalia; Rodentia; Cricetidae. The record is from RNAcentral.
CUUUUUCUUCCCCACCACGCAGAGGUUGUAUGAGGUUUUGAGACAGUGCAGAAGGAGAGAAGUGGUGUGGGGACUGAGGCAUUGCACCAUGAAACGAGCCAGUUGACAGACAAGGCUCUGUGUUAUCAAUCAGCAUGACUGAGGAAUGUCUUUUUCUUCUUUGAUGAACUCUCUCGACUUCCAUCACUGUCCAUGUGUCCCAGGUCUGUUUCUUUGUUCCAUGACACAGGAACCUGGAAAUAUCAGUGGGUGUCCUCCAGGUCCACACUCACACCUUCAAAUAUCCAUUCUGGAUACAGGUAUCCAAAUAGCCUUGUAGCGGAGCAGUCUCAGCUAAGAGUUUAUAGCAGCAGGAACAGUUUCAGAUGCAACGUCAAUGUCCUUUGCAGGCCCCUGUGAACUCUGGAUGAAAAAGAAGAAGAAAUCCAAAUCCACAGCAGCACAUUGUUGGCAUGUUAUUCUGGGCUUCAUUUUCAGCUUUAAAAGCUUUUCCUCAGUGCUGCCUGCCAGAAUGAGACACAUGCAAACAGGACUGAAACCCACACCUGGGAGUCGCACAUGCAUGACCACUGAAAAGUUCAGACUCUGCGUCGAACAAAGCAUACCCUUGGCUCAUUGAAGUUGCGCCAGGAAAAGGGCACGGUUUAGCUGGCAGUGUAGUCACAGCCAGAAAAUGUUUAAAAGACACUAAGAAUUCAGACAGACACAUUCCUUACAUUCUUAAGUUCAACUUCUCUUAACAGAUAAAUAAAGAUGAGACUGCAUUUGAUUGGUCCUCCACUUGUACCCAGUAACUCUGCUUAUCUAGAUUACACACUGAGCUGAUAUUGCAAUCUUCUCUUGUCUGUCCUGUUUGCUCUCUAGGCGAGGAACAUGAGUGUGUGCACUCAAGCUAAGCUUAAGAAAAGUCAGGCAGUGCUAUCUUUCCCACUUCCAGAAGUGCUUGGAUGGGUUGCAUGCAAGAGGCAACUGACGCUUAGCUUACUGUUUAGAAGGCCAUCGGGGAUGUCAGGGAGCCUUCAUGCAGCAGCUGAUAGAAGCAGAAGCAGACACCCACAGCUAAAAACUGAACUGAACUGGAAUCCAGUUGCAGAGAAGGAGGAAUGAUGAGCAAAGGGGUCAAGACCAGGCUGGUGAAGCCCACAGAAACAGCUGACCUGAACAUGAGGGAGCUCUUGGCCCCCAGAUUGAUCACUGGGAAACCAGCAUGGGACUGAUCCAGACCCCAGGAACAUGGGUUUCAAUGAGGAAACCUCAGAAAUCUAUGGGGCCUUUUGUAGUAGAUCAGUACUUAUCC